RNAcentral lists this non-coding RNA (121 nucleotides) under Kocuria marina. RNAcentral describes it as "SAM-IV sequence". It matches the Rfam family "SAM (S-adenosyl methionine) riboswitch aptamer". From Rfam's summary of the family: SAM-IV is a mRNA element that regulates gene expression via direct sensing of S-adenosylmethionine (SAM or AdoMet). Lineage: Bacteria; Bacillati; Actinomycetota; Actinomycetes; Micrococcales; Micrococcaceae. The record is from RNAcentral.
GGUCACGAGAGUCAGCGCGAAGCCCCAGCUAGCUGACCGGCAACCCUCCCUUCCGCGGUGGGGUGCCCUGGGUGAAGACCUGGCCGUGGCGUCGACCGACGUCGUGCGGCAAGCGCGGGUC